Molecule: unclassified non-coding RNA, 145 nt
Filed under: Phialocephala bamuru
Lineage: Eukaryota; Fungi; Ascomycota; Leotiomycetes; Helotiales; Mollisiaceae
Description: partial internal transcribed spacer 2
Source: RNAcentral
UAACCACUCAAGCCUGGCUUGGUAUUGGAGUUCGCGGUUCCGCGGCCCCUAAAAUCAGUGGCGGUGCCGGUGGGCUCUAAGCGUAGUAAAUCUCCUCGCUAUAGGGUCCCUCCGGUUGCCCGCCAGAACCCCCCCCAUUUUUUCA